Molecule: non-coding RNA, 114 nt
Organism: Acanthosepion pharaonis
Lineage: Eukaryota; Metazoa; Mollusca; Cephalopoda; Sepiida; Sepiidae
Source: the annotation of a GenBank genome assembly
UUACGGCCAUAAUACGUUGAAACACCGGUUUCCGUACGAUCACCAAAGUUAAGCAACGUCGAGCCUGGUCAGUACCUAGAUGGUUGACUGCUUGGGAAUACCAGGUGUCGUAAG